AAUGCCAUGUAUUUGUGUAGCACUUUAGAGUUUAUGAAGCACUUUAGCAGGAACUACCUUAUUUUAUUAUUUUUGUACCAAACCAAUGAAGUAAGAGGAAAUUAUUAUCCCUAUUUUGUAGAUGAUCAUAUAAUUGGAAAUUUAUGAAGCCAGGAAACCUCGCUCCUGGUCCAGAGCUCUUUCCUCUAUGGGCUUCCUAAGUCCUCUGCUAAAAAGAGAAAUCUAGAGACGAAGAUGUAACUUCUUAUGGUGAUAGCUGAGAGCCAAGUCCCCGAAGAAUGUUAGGACAGUGACUUCAUAAUGUCAGGGGUUCUGGGAGGGGAGAGAGUACACUAAGGCAUGUUCUUCAACCUUAGCACACUGACAUUCUGCCUGGAUAAGUUUUUGUUGUAAGGGCUGUCCUGUGAAGUGUAGGAUACUUAGCAGCAUUUUUGGCCUUUACCCAUUAGAUGCCAAUAAGACCCUCUCAGUUGAGACAACAGAAAAUGUCUCCAGACAUUACCAAAUGUUCCUUGGGCGGAGGGGUGGUAUCACCCCAGUUGGGACCCAGUGCUCCAGAAAAGAGAGAAAAAAUAAACACCUGUUUUAGUUUUCAUCACAGCCAAAUCUAAGUAGAAGUCAUAGUCUCUGAACCAAAGCAGUUAACUAUUUUUCACGGAUAUAGGUACAAUUCUGCUUCUUUGAAACAGUUUAGUUGGUGCUGAAAGCUGGGAAUACAGUGGGGAUGGUGAGACAUUUGUGCCCCAGGAGAAGAUAUGGCUGUUCUCGUAGGGAGAAAUUUUCUGCUAGUAUUCCAGGGCAUAAGCCAAGUAAGACUAUUCAUUGAAACAUAAAGAGGGAGAGGAGGGGAAUGGUCCAGCUGAAAUAUUUCCAGGGUGUAACUAACGACACAUUUUUCUCUUUUGUAGUAUGCUAUAUAAUAACCACGGGUGGCACUGCUGUUUCUGAUUCUAAAACACCUUGGAAACUUUCUUGACAUCUGCAGCACUCUGCUACUCAAAAGGGUGCAUUGGGGGAGCAUACAAGGUGAUGAGUCUGGAGACCUAAGAUUUCACGCUUUUUCAGGCAUUAGUCACUAUGGUGUAACCUUAGGCAAGGUACUUCACGUCCCUGGAUCUACGUUUCUAUAUCUGAAAAUGAGAUUAACCUCAAUAUCUCCAAGCUUUAAAAUUGUAUGGUUUCCCUACUCUUACAACCACAACUAAAUCACUAUUAUUACUGCCAGCAAGUAGGAAUGUAUGAUUAUACUGCCAUGCACAUCACCAGAAGUAAUAUGGUAAUAUUGGUGGUAUCAUUCUUGUAAAGUUAAAAAAAAUGUUCUAAUGAAGCAGAUUAAGGCUACUUACAAUAUAUGCAUCCUUGGGCUCAGGAGGACUAGGGAGGAAAUGAUCUACUUGGAUAUGAGAAAUGAAGUAGCCAGGGCAUUGAAAUCCAUAACUCACCAUGGUUAAUGAAUCUUCCUCUCCCUAACCCAACACCCCAGGCAAAAGAUAGGCAUUGGUACCUAUUAAAUAAGAGCUAGGAGAAAAGGAAUUACAGUCAAAACCCUCUUAAGACAUUUUCAAAGGAGCAGCCAUUAAAACUUCUAAACCAGGAAAUCAUCCUUGGAGAGAAAUGGAAAAUCACAGCCUAAAGCCCCAUCAGUCACUGCAUCCAUCUUCACAUCCAGGACCUCCAGGUGAUGCUCAGACAUCCAGUCAGGAUGUGGUGAUCGAAGAACAAUAAAGGCAAAUUAUCUACACCCCAUCUCCACUUAAUAGAACAUGGAGGAGCAAGGACAAGUUAAUUGGAAUAUACUUUCUGUCAUAGUCUGGCUCCCCAGGAAGCAGACUUUGAGACAGAAUUUACCAUGCAGGAGGUUUGUCAGGAAGGGCCCUUCCUGUGGAAGUAAAGGGAAGAAAGCAGUCUCAACACAGUCCUCAGCCAACGCCAUGAUGAAGCUGGGGAGCCUUUCAGAAUUGCCCCAAGGUAGGGCGAGGAGGCUGGACCUUUAUACCUGAGGUUGACCCGUUAUUGAAUUUGGAUACUCUGGAAAGGGGCAUGACCUUGGACAAAGUGUGAAGCAACUCUCUUGGGCUGAGACAGUUAUUAAAAAGUAUUGUCUGAAGGCUGCAUUCAGCAUUCCCAAGAGCUGGGGAAUUAAAUUCUUCAGUCCUGUAGUGGAAUCCAGAAGGUGCAUCACAGUGACUGCUACAAAUUGCUGUUUAGGAAAGGGUGUGACACCACAGUAAUUGGUCUGUAACAGCACUGGGAAUUCUGGAAGUUUCUUUUCCCUAUAGGAGGAGAAGUUAUUCGAUGAGGUCUCUUGGAGGAACUUCUUUCCAUUUUUCUCCAUGGUUCUGCCCUUUGGGGAAGUUUUCCUUGUUUAUUAUCUUCUAUGUGUGUAUCUGAAGUGGGUGGUGUGGAGACUUCCCUCCUUGGGGCUGUGUACGUUUUGAAGACAUCUUCCUGUUCCUAAAAUGUUGGGGGGACCAGAGGGGUUAUUUUAAAUCUUGAGCGGUCAGGUACUUUUAAAAUCUAGGCGAACAGUUUCUUUGACAAUGCAGUUCCUUAAAAAUUUAAUAAACCUCUGAUCUAUUUGUUUCCAAUCGGU
Molecule: long non-coding RNA, 2593 nt
Filed under: Equus caballus (horse)
Lineage: Eukaryota; Metazoa; Chordata; Mammalia; Perissodactyla; Equidae
Description: lncRNA (ENSECAG00000047381.1)
Source: RNAcentral